GUAUUCUUUCAAGGAACAUGUUUUGCUGUUUUAAUACUUAGCGCUACCAUUUUUUUUUUUUUCAUACAAUUUUUUUGCUCCGAAAAAAAAGUCAAAAUUGUUUUCUAGAUACAUACACACACAAUAUAAUUUGCUUCUUUGAAAUCACACUGGGCUGUGUGCGCACAAGUCAAGAUGCAGCUGAUGGCAUUUCGAAUUUAUUGGAUUUCAGGCACGCAUAAAAAACCGAAAUCGUUGAAAUGACUGUAUUCAGCUCUUGAAAUUUUAAUUAAAUUUGUCAAGCAUUGAAAAGUCAUAGAAAAAUGAAUGAAAGCAAUGGACAAAAAACCGAUCAACUAAAAAUAAAUAAAAGCUUUCAACCAGCACAUCAACGUAGAAUUUUUAUUUCAGUGCCGAAUCAAUAGA
This is a long non-coding RNA of Sitodiplosis mosellana (orange wheat blossom midge), 405 nucleotides long. RefSeq lists it as uncharacterized. The record is from RefSeq and is a predicted model, not a curated record. NCBI's taxonomy places the organism in Eukaryota, Metazoa, Arthropoda, Insecta, Diptera, Cecidomyiidae. The transcript has 3 exons.